RNAcentral lists this ribosomal RNA (253 nucleotides) under uncultured bacterium. Its description in RNAcentral is "partial 16S ribosomal RNA". It matches the Rfam family "Bacterial small subunit ribosomal RNA", at positions 524 to 776 of the family's 1533-position model. The record is from RNAcentral.
UACAGAGGUCCCAAGCGUUGUUCGGAUUCACUGGGCGUAAAGGGUGCGCAGGUGGGUUUGCAAGUUCGAUGUGAAAGCCCCGGGCUUAACCCGGGAAUGGCAUUGGAUACUGCAGAUCUGGAGGAUCGGAGGGGGGACUGGAAUUCUUGGUGUAGCAGUGAAAUGCGUAGAUAUCAGGAGGAACACCGGUGGCGAAGGCGGGUCUCUGGGCCGAUACUGACGCUGAGGAGCGAAAGCGUGGGGAGCGAACAGG